Molecule: ribosomal RNA, 91 nt
Filed under: Periophthalmus magnuspinnatus
Lineage: Eukaryota; Metazoa; Chordata; Actinopteri; Gobiiformes; Gobiidae
Source: RNAcentral
UUACACCACCUUGCCCGAUCUCGUCUCCGAAGCUAAGCAGGGUUGGGCCUGGUUAGUGCUUGGAUGGGAGACCGGGGGGGAAUACCAGGAG